GCCAAAAAUCUAGCUCUAAUUUUACAAAUAAAAUAUUCACCCUAAAUUUUUUAAUUAAAACAUUUUAACAACCUAGUAAAGGAGAUUAAAAAGUUAAUUAAAGCUAUAUCAUAAGUACCGCAAGGGAAAGAUGAAAUAAAAAUGAAAUAAAUUUUAAGCACAAAAUAGUAAAGAUUAACUCUUGUACCUUUUGCAUCAUGGUUUAACUAGUCUGAUCAAGCAAAAAGACUUAAAGUUUGACCCCCCGAAACUAAGCGAGCUACUUCAGGGCAGCUUAACGAGCAAACCCGUCCCUGUUGCAAAAGAGUGGGAAGACCCUUAAGUAGAAGUGACAGACCUAUCGAGCUUAGUGAUAGCUGGUUACUCAAAAAAAGAAUUUAAGUUCAACCUAAAAUUUUAAUCAAUAUUAAUAAAUAUGACAUUUAUUUUAGAAUAAUUCAAAUAAGGUACAGCCUAUUUGAAACAGGAUACAACCUAUAUCAACGGGUAACUAAUUAUAUUUAUAUUAAUCAAGUAGGCCUAAAAGCAGCCAUCUUUUAAACAGCGUCACAGCUUCAUUAUGUUAAAAUCAAAUCCCCACAUAUUUAUGUAACCCUUCACCAACAUUGAGUAAUUCUAUGCUUACAUAGAAAUUCUUAUGUUAAAACUAGUAACAAGAAGACGAACUUCUCCUUAAUAUGAGUAUCAAUCAGUCGGACCCGCCACUGAUAAUUAACACCCCAUCUUAAAGUAGCACCAAAACAAGAAAACCCUACUCCAUCACAUGUUAAUCUAACACAAGCACAUUACAAGAAAGAUUUAAAGAUAAAGAAGGAACUCGGCAAACAUUAACCCCGCCUGUUUACCAAAAACAUCGCCUUUUGAACCCCANNNNAGGUCCAGCCUGCCCAGUGACUCUGUUCAACGGCCGCGGUAUCCUAACCGUGCAAAGGUAGCGUAAUCACUUGUUCUUUAAAUGAGGACUAGUAUGAAUGGCACCACGAGGGUUAUACUGUCUCCUCUCUCUAAUCAGUGAAACUAAUCUCCCCGUGAAGAAGCGGGGAUCUACAUAUAAGACGAGAAGACCCUAUGGAGCUUUAAACUUUCAACAACUGCCCAAAUAAUCUUAAUUUCAGAAAACAAACCUUAAUUCAGCACUUUGAUUUUUAAGUUUUCGAUUGGGGUGAUCACGGAGCAAAACCUAACCUCCGCACUGAAAGGCCCCAAGCCUUAUCUAAGAAUCACAACUCUAUGCACCAACAAUUUGACAUCUAUUGACCCAAUAUAUUGAUCAAUGAACCAAGUUACCCUAGGGAUAACAGCGCAAUCCACUUCAAGAGCCCCUAUCGACAAGUGGGUUUACGACCUCGAUGUUGGAUCAGGGUCCCCCAGUGGUGCAGCCGCUACUAAAGGUUCGUUUGUUCAACGAUUAAAACCCU
RNAcentral lists this ribosomal RNA (1418 nucleotides) under Paratelmatobius cardosoi. RNAcentral's name for it is "partial 16S ribosomal RNA". It matches the Rfam family "Bacterial large subunit ribosomal RNA", at positions 133 to 2597 of the family's 2925-position model. Lineage: Eukaryota; Metazoa; Chordata; Amphibia; Anura; Leptodactylidae. The record is from RNAcentral.